GCGUAACGCGUAUGCAACCUACCUUUAACCGGGACAUAGCCCCGAGAAAUCGGGAUUAAUAUCCCAUAAUAUCCAGAAAACGCAUGUUUUCUGGAUUAAAGUUCCGGCGGUUAAAGAUGGGCAUGCGUGGCAUUAGUUAGUUGGUGAGGUAACGGCUCACCAAGGCAAUGAUGCCUAGGGGUCCUGAGAGGGUUUUCCCCCACACUGGUACUGAGACACGGACCAGACUCCUACGGGAGGCAGCAGUAAGGAAUAUUGGGCAAUAGGCGCAAGCCUGACCCAGCCAUGCCGCGUGCAGGAUGACGGCCCUAUGGGUUGUAAACUGCUUUUGUAUGGGAAAAAACUCCCGCACGUGUGCGGGACUGAUUGUACCAUACGAAUAAGCAUCGGCUAACUCCGUGCCAGCAGCCGCGGUAAUACGGAGGAUGCAAGCGUUAUCCGGAUUUAUUGGGUUUAAAGGGUGCGCAGGCGGAUUAGUAAGUCAGUGGUGAAAGCUCCCGGCUCAACCGGGAAAAUGCCAUUGAUACUGUUAAUCUUGAGUACAGUUGAGGUUGGCGGAAUGUAUCAUGUAACGGUGAAAUGCAUAGAUAUGAUACAGAACACCGAUAGCGAAGGCAGCUUACCAAACUGUAACUGACGCUCAUGCACGAAAGCGUGGGGAGCAAACAGGAUUAGAUACCCUGGUAGUCCACGCUGUAAACUAUGAUCACUCGCUGUUGGCGAUACACUGUCAGCGGCUUAGCGAAAGUGUUAAGUGAUCCACCUGGGGAGUACGAUCGCAAGGUUGAAACUCAAAGGAAUUGACGGGGGCCCGCACAAGCGGAGGAGCAUGUGGUUUAAUUCGAUGAUACGCGAGGAACCUUACCUGGGCUUAAAUGCAGAACGACCUCCCGAGAAAUCGGGACUUCCUUCGGGACGGACUGCAAGGUGCUGCAUGGUUGUCGUCAGCUCGUGCCGUGAGGUGUCGGGUUAAGUCCCAUAUCGA
This 985-nucleotide ribosomal RNA is filed under the name uncultured organism. RNAcentral's name for it is "bacterial SSU rRNA". It matches the Rfam family "Bacterial small subunit ribosomal RNA", at positions 108 to 1095 of the family's 1533-position model. The record is from RNAcentral.